GCUGGAGGGAUCGUGUUCUUCCCGAGGCCGAAAACAUAACAGGAACAUCGCGUUAAGUGGAUCAAACAUCGUGGAAGGCCCCACUCCAGCUAAACCUCAGGAAAAUAAACACAAGGAGUCCAGCCGAGAGAAGACGUUUAUUCAGGCGGCGUAAGUGAACAGACCUCUGGGUGAACUGUAGACUGGCCUCAUCCAGACUGGCCUCAUCCAGACUAUCCUCAUCCAGACUAACCUCAUCCAGACUGGCCUCAUCCAGACUAUCCUCAUCCAGACUAGC
Long non-coding RNA from Mugil cephalus (flathead mullet), 277 nucleotides. RefSeq lists it as uncharacterized. The transcript has 3 exons. NCBI's taxonomy places the organism in Eukaryota, Metazoa, Chordata, Actinopteri, Mugiliformes, Mugilidae. The record is from RefSeq and is a predicted model, not a curated record.